UUAGCUGAAACCAAAUUAGAGGUGAAUCACUGUUAAUGAUUUAAUUGAGAAAUCCUGCUGUU
Molecule: transfer RNA, 62 nt
Filed under: Pseudoniphargus grandis
Lineage: Eukaryota; Metazoa; Arthropoda; Malacostraca; Amphipoda; Allocrangonyctidae
Description: tRNA-Asn
Source: RNAcentral